Molecule: ribosomal RNA, 497 nt
Filed under: uncultured bacterium
Lineage: Bacteria
Description: partial 16S ribosomal RNA
Rfam family: Bacterial small subunit ribosomal RNA
Source: RNAcentral
GAUGAACGCUGGCGGCGUGCCUAAUACAUGCAAGUCGAGCGAACGGACGAGAAGCUUGCUUCUCUGAUGUUAGCGGCGGACGGGUGAGUAACACGUGGAUAACCUACCUAUAAGACUGGGAUAACUUCGGGAAACCGGAGCUAAUACCGGAUAAUAUUUUGAACCGCAUGGUUCAAAAGUGAAAGACGGUCUUGCUGUCACUUAUAGAUGGAUCCGCGCUGCAUUAGCUAGUUGGUAAGGUAACGGCUUACCAAGGCAACGAUGCAUAGCCGACCUGAGAGGGUGAUCGGCCACACUGGAACUGAGACACGGUCCAGACUCCUACGGGAGGCAGCAGUAGGGAAUCUUCCGCAAUGGGCGAGAGCCUGACGGAGCAACGCCGCGUGAGUGAUGAAGGUCUUCGGAUCGUAAAACUCUGUUAUUAGGGAAGAACAUAUGUGUAAGUAACUGUACACAUCUUGACGGUACCUAGUCAGAAAGCCACGGCUAACUACGUG